This 331-nucleotide ribosomal RNA is filed under the name uncultured Anaerolineaceae bacterium. RNAcentral's name for it is "bacterial SSU rRNA". It matches the Rfam family "Bacterial small subunit ribosomal RNA", at positions 1039 to 1382 of the family's 1533-position model. Lineage: Bacteria; Bacillati; Chloroflexota; Anaerolineae; Anaerolineales; Anaerolineaceae. The record is from RNAcentral.
UGUUGCAUGGCUGUCGUCAGCUCGUGUCGUGAGAUGUUCGGUUAAGUCCGCUAACGAGCGCAACCCUCGUCGUAUGUUACAAGUGUCAUACGAGACUGCCGGUUAAAAAGCCCGGAGGAAGGUGAGGAUGAUGUCAAGUCAGCAUGACCUUUAUAUCCAGGGCUACACACACGCUACAAUGGUCUGUACAAUGGGUAGCCAAGCCGCGAGGCGGAGCCAAUCCUGAAAGCAGGCCUCAGUUCAGAUUGCAGUCUGCAACUCGACUGCAUGAAGCCGGAGUUGCUAGUAACCGCAGGUCAGCAAUACUGCGGUGAAUACGUUCCCGGGUCUU